RNAcentral lists this ribosomal RNA (292 nucleotides) under uncultured bacterium. RNAcentral's name for it is "partial 16S ribosomal RNA". It matches the Rfam family "Bacterial small subunit ribosomal RNA", at positions 505 to 796 of the family's 1533-position model. The record is from RNAcentral.
GUGCCAGCAGCCGCGGUAAUACGUAGGGGGCAAGCGUUGUCCGGAUUUAUUGGGCGUAAAGAGCGUGUAGGCGGCUAGGUAGGUCCGCUGUUAAAACUCGAGGCUUAACCUCGAGAGGUCGGUGGAAACCAUCUGGCUAGAGUCCGGAAGAGGAGAGUGGAAUUCCUGGUGUAGCGGUGAAAUGCGCAGAUAUCAGGAAGAACACCCGUGGCGAAGGCGGCUCUCUGGGACGGUACUGACGCUGAGACGCGAAAGCGUGGGGAGCGAACAGGAUUAGAUACCCCAGUAGUCC